CUCAGAUUGAACGCUGGCGGCAUGCCUUGCACAUGCAAGUCGAACGGCAGCACGGGAGCUUGCUCCUGGUGGCGAGUGGCGAACGGGUGAGUAAUACAUCGGAACGUACCCUGAAGUGGGGAUAACGUAGCGAAAGUUACGCUAAUACCGCAUAUUCUGUGAGCAGGAAAGAGGGGGAUCGCAAGACCUCUUGCUUUAGGAGCGGCCGAUGUCGGAUUAGCUAGUUGGUGAGGUAAAGGCUCACCAAGGCGACGAUCCGUAGCGGGUCUGAGAGGAUGAUCCGCCACACUGGGACUGAGACACGGCCCAGACUCCUACGGGAGGCAGCAGUGGGGAAUUUUGGACAAUGGGCGCAAGCCUGAUCCAGCCAUGCCGCGUGAGUGAAGAAGGCCUUCGGGUUGUAAAGCUCUUUCGGUGGGGAAGAAAUUGCUUCGGUUAAUACCUGGAGUAGAUGACGGUACCCGCAUAAGAAGCACCGGCUAACUACGUG
This 490-nucleotide ribosomal RNA is filed under the name uncultured bacterium. RNAcentral describes it as "bacterial SSU rRNA". It matches the Rfam family "Bacterial small subunit ribosomal RNA", at positions 23 to 507 of the family's 1533-position model. The record is from RNAcentral.